UACGUAGGGAGCAAGCGUUGUCCGGAAUUACUGGGCGUAAAGGGCGCGUAGGUGGGCGCUUAAGUCAGGUGUGAAAACUCCGGGCUCAACCUGGAGACUGCACUUGAAACUGUGUGACUGGAGUGCAGGAGAGGUAAGCGGAAUUCCUGGUGUAGCGGUGAAAUGCGUAGAUAUCAGGAGGAACACCAGUGGCGAAGGCGGCUUACUGGACUGUAACUGACGUUGAGGCUCGAAAGCGUGGGGAGCAAACAGG
This 253-nucleotide ribosomal RNA is filed under the name uncultured Dehalobacterium sp. RNAcentral describes it as "partial 16S ribosomal RNA". It matches the Rfam family "Bacterial small subunit ribosomal RNA", at positions 524 to 776 of the family's 1533-position model. Lineage: Bacteria; Bacillati; Bacillota; Clostridia; Eubacteriales; Peptococcaceae. The record is from RNAcentral.